Molecule: ribosomal RNA, 632 nt
Filed under: uncultured delta proteobacterium
Lineage: Bacteria; Deltaproteobacteria
Description: bacterial SSU rRNA
Rfam family: Bacterial small subunit ribosomal RNA
Source: RNAcentral
CGAACGAGAACGCUUUAGGCUUGCCGAGAGCAAGUAAAGUGGCGCACGGGUGAGUAACGCGUGGAUAACCUACCUCUAAAUUUAGGAUAACAUUGCGAAAGUGAUGCUAAUACUAAAUAAUAUUUAGAUUGCAAAGGCAGAUUGAAUCAAAGGUGGCCAAUACAUGUAAGCUACUGUUUAGAGAUGAGUCCGCGUACCAUUAGCUAGUUGGUAGGGUAAUGGCCUACCAAGGCGACGAUGGUUAGCUGGUCUGAGAGGAUGAUCAGCCACACUGGAACUGACACACGGUCCAGACUCCUACGGGAGGCAGCAGUGAGGAAUUUUGCGCAAUGGGGGAAACCCUGACGCAGCGACGCCGCGUGGGUGAUGAAGGCUUUCGAGUCGUAAAGCCCUGUCAAGUGGGAAGAAAUGUUAUAUGGUUAAUAGCUGUAUGAUUUGACGGUACCGCUAAAGGAAGCACCGGCUAACUCCGUGCCAGCAGCCGCGGUAAUACGGAGGGUGCAAGCGUUGUUCGGAAUUACUGGGCGUAAAGGGCGCGUAGGCGGCUUUUUAAGUCAGGUGUGAAAGUCCACGGCUCAGCCGUGGAAGUGCAUUUGAAACUGGAAGGCUUGAGUAUGGGAGAGGGAAGUGGA